This 515-nucleotide ribosomal RNA is filed under the name uncultured bacterium. RNAcentral's name for it is "partial 16S ribosomal RNA". It matches the Rfam family "Bacterial small subunit ribosomal RNA", at positions 28 to 523 of the family's 1533-position model. The record is from RNAcentral.
GAUGAACGCUGGCGGCGUGCCUAAUACAUGCAAGUCGAGCGAAUGGAUUAAGAGCUUGCUCUUAUGAAGUUAGCGGCGGACGGGUGAGUAACACGUGGGUAACCUGCCCAUAAGACUGGGAUAACUCCGGGAAACCGGGGCUAAUACCGGAUAACAUUUUGAACCGCAUGGUUCGAAAUUGAAAGGCGGCUUCGGCUGUCACUUAUGGAUGGACCCGCGUCGCAUUAGCUAGUUGGUGAGGUAACGGCUCACCAAGGCAACGAUGCGUAGCCGACCUGAGAGGGUGAUCGGCCACACUGGGACUGAGACACGGCCCAGACUCCUACGGGAGGCAGCAGUAGGGAAUCUUCCGCAAUGGACGAAAGUCUGACGGAGCAACGCCGCGCGAGUGAUGAAGGCUUUCGGGUCGUAAAACUCUGUUGUUAGGGAAGAACAAGUGCUAGUUGAAUAAGCUGGCACCUUGACGGUACCUAACCAGAAAGCCACGGCUAACUACGUGCCAGCCACCGCUGUAA